AGACCCUAUUGUGCAGCAACCAUAGAAGGAGCACCAUGCGCUGCUCCAUGCCCAGGCGUCAGACCACUAAAGAGAAGCCAGUCAGACGAAGCCCAACCAUCCAUCGGUGCUGGAGAGGCCUGAUCAUACCCAGUAGACUUCAGAUCUGGAUAAAGACCUAUUUGUACGGCAGCCACACCAUGCUGCAUACCAAACGCCACUCCAUGCCCAGGCGUUGUUUCAACUUAUGUCAGCCGGUCAUGAGGACCCCGUAAAUCUGCCGAUGCUAGGGGACCACCGUAUUGACAAUCAAAUCUGUAGUAUAUCUCUGUGCUAGAUGCCUCAAACGGCCACAGAUCUGGCACUACACACAUCCUCUUGUAGUCUAUCCACGACCGUUACAGAAAGUACGACCCUCUUGUAGUCUAUCCACGACCGUUACAGAAAGUAUGACCACCUCUCAUAGCCACCGCCGUCCCUGAAAAAUGAAGAUCCGAAGUAGUAGGGCCAACCAUACUCGCCUGAAACGGAGUUUCCAGUACUAAUUUUUUGCUGUCGAUUCUCAUUCUCCAGGAGUAUGUCAACCAACUUUGUCAUGGGCAGAGGUUCAGAAGAGAAGGACACUAAUGUAACCACCGAGGCGAACUCCGGCGAAAGCCCCGCGAGUACUAUCUCGACUCUCUCAGAAUCCAAGAUCUGGUGCCUUGAAGCCUCAAUUACAGUAACUAAGAGACGAGUCACAGUGCUCGAAACAUCGCUGGAUGUAGUCACUCAUGUAAAACACGAUAACAAUGGACUGCUAAUCGUGGAUAACAACCACGAUGCCGGUAACUUAUCUUGUUCAUAAAAUAGAGAAAACUCAAGGUUGAGAAUUAACUUUCCUUCUUGAUCUGGUACAAACCACGGCGGAAUCGGCAGAGUUCCGUUCACAAAUCUGGUAAGCUCGUAUCCUUCAAUUAUCAAUUUCACGUGCUGUUGUCAUUGGAUGAAAUUACUUUCAUCUAGCUUAAUCGUAUCAUGUCGAGGGAAGCUUUGGAUUAGACGAGAUUUGCCAAGAUCAACAUUGAAUGAUGUUGCUAGAUUCAGAGUCGAAGGAACUGUCUGUGGGCCAUUAGGAGCAGUAGUAGAUUAUUCUGAAUUUGCUAUGUUUGGCAGCGGAAGAGAGUGCCCAGAACUUAGGCAAAUGAAUGAUACCAUGAAAAGGUUUUUGACGACUUAAUGAAGGUAAAGAAAGCACUAAGUAAACAAUUUUGCAACUACUGAAUAAACUGGAAAAUUUAUUUUUUUCAUAUUUGCAGAUGAACAUGUAUUUAUACACUUGAUUUCUUAAUUGUUGUAUAACAGCUUAACUGCAAAUUUGUUAAUAAUAGAAAUCUAGAAUGUAACUGUUCUAGCUACUU
Gossypium raimondii (Peruvian cotton) is the source of this 1379-nucleotide long non-coding RNA. RefSeq lists it as uncharacterized. The transcript has 2 exons. The record is from RefSeq and is a predicted model, not a curated record. NCBI's taxonomy places the organism in Eukaryota, Viridiplantae, Streptophyta, Magnoliopsida, Malvales, Malvaceae.